RNAcentral lists this ribosomal RNA (466 nucleotides) under uncultured bacterium. RNAcentral's name for it is "partial 16S ribosomal RNA". It matches the Rfam family "Bacterial small subunit ribosomal RNA", at positions 28 to 507 of the family's 1533-position model. The record is from RNAcentral.
GACGAACGCUGGCGGCGCGCCUAACACAUGCAAGUCGAACGAGCGAGAGAGAGCUUGCUUUCUUGAGCGAGUGGCGAACGGGUGAGUAACGCGUGAGGAACCUGCCUCAAAGAGGGGGACAACAGUUGGAAACGACUGCUAAUACCGCAUAAGCCCACGGUGCCGCAUGGCACAGAGGGAAAAGGAGCAAUCCGCUUUGAGAUGGCCUCGCGUCCGAUUAGCUAGUUGGUGAGGUAACGGCCCACCAAGGCGACGAUCGGUAGCCGGACUGAGAGGUUGAACGGCCACAUUGGGACUGAGACACGGCCCAGACUCCUACGGGAGGCAGCAGUGGGGAAUAUUGCACAAUGGGGGAAACCCUGAUGCAGCGACGCCGCGUGGAGGAAGUAGGUCUUCGGAUUGUAAACUCCUGUUGUUGGGGAAGAUAAUGACGGUACCCAACAAGGAAGUGACGGCUAACUACGUG